AGAUUUGAGGACAAUAUGGUUAUAACAUCUGUCACUCUGUUGAUUGCCAGGGUUGAUACCGUUGACCUGGCUGGUUAGGUGGAUCUCCUCUUCCUCCCUGCUCCAUUGCAUCCCUCCUAAAGCUGCAUGCUCAGUCAAAGAGAUGACCUUCCCUGAAUAGGGUAGGACCAGCCUUGGGCCAAGGGUAUACAAGUAGCUGUGCUCCUCUUCUAGAAUCUCCGAACGUUCUCUCAAGGUCACUUUGUAUAUGGGGCAGAGUAACACACCCAAGUAAGUGUGCUGUCUUCAAAAUCCAAAAAGGCCCAUUAAAUGGUGUGCUUCUUU
This 324-nucleotide small nuclear RNA is filed under the name Rattus norvegicus (Norway rat). RNAcentral's name for it is "7SK RNA". It matches the Rfam family "7SK RNA". From Rfam's summary of the family: 7SK was discovered as an abundant small nuclear RNA in the mid-70s but a possible function has only recently been suggested. The record is from Rfam by way of RNAcentral. Lineage: Eukaryota; Metazoa; Chordata; Mammalia; Rodentia; Muridae.